Molecule: ribosomal RNA, 301 nt
Filed under: uncultured bacterium
Lineage: Bacteria
Description: partial 16S ribosomal RNA
Rfam family: Bacterial small subunit ribosomal RNA
Source: RNAcentral
CAGUCGCCGCGGUAAUACAGAGGGUGCGAGCGUUAAUCGGAUUUACUGGGCGUAAAGCGUGCGUAGGCGGCUUCUUAAGUCGGAUGUGAAAUCCCUGAGCUUAACUUAGGAAUUGCAUUCGAUACUGGGAAGCUAGAGUAUGGGAGAGGAUGGUAGAAUUCCAGGUGUAGCGGUGAAAUGCGUAGAGAUCUGGAGGAAUACCGAUGGCGAAGGAAGCCAUCUGGCCUAAUACUGACGCUGAGGUACGAAAGCAUGGGGAGCAAACAGGAUUAGAUACCCGUGUAGUCCCUGUCUCUUAUAC